CGAACUGAUUAGAAGCUUGCUUCUAUGACGUUAGCGGCGGACGGGUGAGUAACACGUGGGCAACCUGCCUGUAAGACUGGGAUAACUUCGGGAAACCGAAGCUAAUACCGGAUAGGAUCUUCUCCUUCAUGGGAGAUGAUUGAAAGAUGGUUUCGGCUAUCACUUACAGAUGGGCCCGCGGUGCAUUAGCUAGUUGGUGAGGUAACGGCUCACCAAGGCAACGAUGCAUAGCCGACCUGAGAGGGUGAUCGGCCACACUGGGACUGAGACACGGCCCAGACUCCUACGGGAGGCAGCAGUAGGGAAUCUUCCGCAAUGGACGAAAGUCUGACGGAGCAACGCCGCGUGAGUGAUGAAGGCUUUCGGGUCGUAAAACUCUGUUGUUAGGGAAGAACAAGUACAAGAGUAACUGCUUGUACCUUGACGGUACCUAACCAGAAAGCCACGGCUAACUACGUGCCAGCAGCCGCGGUAAUACGUAGGUGGCAAGCGUUAUCCGGAAUUAUUGGGCGUAAAGCGCGCGCAGGCGGUUUCUUAAGUCUGAUGUGAAAGCCCACGGCUCAACCGUGGAGGGUCAUUGGAAACUGGGGAACUUGAGUGCAGAAGAGAAAAGCGGAAUUCCACGUGUAGCGGUGAAAUG
This 640-nucleotide ribosomal RNA is filed under the name Bacillus sp. (in: firmicutes). Its description in RNAcentral is "bacterial SSU rRNA". It matches the Rfam family "Bacterial small subunit ribosomal RNA", at positions 63 to 688 of the family's 1533-position model. Lineage: Bacteria; Bacillati; Bacillota; Bacilli; Caryophanales; Bacillaceae. The record is from RNAcentral.